This 464-nucleotide ribosomal RNA is filed under the name Haptophyta environmental samples. RNAcentral describes it as "SSU rRNA". It matches the Rfam family "Eukaryotic small subunit ribosomal RNA", at positions 432 to 900 of the family's 1831-position model. The record is from RNAcentral. Lineage: Eukaryota; Haptophyta.
GCGCGUAAAUUGCCCGAAUCCUGACACAGGGAGGUAGUGACAAGAAAUAACAAUACAGGGCUACUUUAGUCUUGUAAUUGGAAUGAGUACAAUUUACAUCUCUUCACGAGGAUCAAUUGGAGGGCAAGUCUGGUGCCAGCAGCCGCGGUAAUUCCAGCUCCAAUAGCGUAUAUUAAAGUUGUUGCAGUUAAAACGCUCGUAGUCGGAUUUCGGGGCCUGCCUGCCGGUCUGCCGAUGGGUAUGCACUGGCAGGCGCGUCCUUCCUUCCGGAGACUGUCCCUACUCUUAACUGAGCGGGGUCGGGAGACGGAUCGUUUACUUUGAAAAAAUCAGAGUGUUUCAAGCAGGCAGCUCGCUCUUGCAUGGAUUAGCAUGGGAUAAUGAAAUAGGACUUUGGUGCUAUUUUGUUGGUUUCGAACACCGAAGUAACGAUUAACAGGGACAGUCAGGGGCACUCGUAUUCC